Molecule: long non-coding RNA, 1032 nt
Organism: Pipistrellus kuhlii (Kuhl's pipistrelle)
Lineage: Eukaryota; Metazoa; Chordata; Mammalia; Chiroptera; Vespertilionidae
Exons: 3
Source: RefSeq, a predicted model, not a curated record
GUACGCGGUUUGCCGCCGGCGCGGGGCACGCCGGGAGGUGUGGCGGGAGCCCGGGCGCCGCGGGCCGGAGGAGGGAGGCGGCGGCAUGGCGGAGCUGACCGCGGGGCUGAUGGAGCAGGCGGCGCGGCGCACCAGCGCCAUGCGAGGCCGCGAGCCGGGCCUGCGGGGUGACCUGGACCCUCGGGCGUCGCUCCAGCCGCUGACCUCCCUGCGGCAGGAGACGACCCGGUGACAGCGAGUCCUGUACAGCAGCUCCUGCCCGGCCUCGACCUCACCCGCCAGUGAGGACAGAGGGACGCUGAAUGGAACUGGAACUGAAAAAGCUGCGUUCCCGACUGUGAGCUGGGCACCUACUCAGAGCUGAUCCGAUGCGGCCAGUGCCGCCCCACCCGCUGGACCUCCAUCCCUGGUGUGGAGCAGCAGGAGGCAGCGAUUCUCACCGUGGAUGCGUAUCCCUGUCGCUGAAACCAGUGGAAAUGGAUGGAUUUUCUCUCUGAGACGCAGUGGCAGCCGUGCCAGCUUGCAGGGCUGCGGGCGGGGACGGCCUGCCUGGGAGGAGGCACUGCAGGAGGCAGAGGAAUUCAUGGGGCCCCCUGACUGGCUGCAGGGUCGCAGGCUGGGGGUGAGGGUUCGAGAGCAGAGUCCCUCCUGGAGCCUCCGAUGCUCAAGAAAAUGUUCCUUUUGUCUCUGUUCUUUGGAGUUUUGACUGCAGAGGAGACCACUGCAGCCACCGAUGCCCUCCGGCCGGUGUGGCUCAGUGGUUGAGCAUCAGCCUGUGAGCCAGGAGGUCGAGCGGUUCCGUUCCCAGACGGGACACAUGCCAGGCUGUGGGCUCCAUCCCCAGAGUGGGGCGUGCAGGAGGCAGCCGAUGGAAGGUUUUCUCUAUCCCUCGCCCUUCCCCUCUGAGACCCAUAACAUAUUAAAAAAAAACCAAACCGUAAAGCCCGGUUAGCAAAACGGCAAGUGCACAUAUGUGGAUAUAUAUGCGAUUUGAUACGUAUGCUAUUUUGAAUAAACAAUCUUUAAAACUUC